CGGGGCACGAGGCUAGUGACAAGCUUCAUACCUGUUCGUGCUGGCACUUCUCCCAGUCAAGUUGUUUAGCUUGUGGUUGCUGCUGAACUUUGCAUACAUAUCAGUCUAUCAAUCUAUCUACCUAGGACGGUGGCAAGGAAAUUGUUUGCGUAAGAUUUUAUUGUUUAUUUGGGGCUAAUUAUAAUGCCACUUUAAGUAGUUGUGUGAUAAGGGAGAAUGUUUCAGUGGUGCUUUGAUUUAUUGCUACAGAUAUUUUUAGAGAUCUCAACAGAGUCCAUAUGAGGUUAGGGAGGUAGGUGCUUAUAAUAUACACCUGCCCCCACAGUCCCCCCCGAAACAUCGAUAACAUGUUGUCUACCACAGGUGGUAAUCUGUACUGUAUUACUGUCUACUGGACUUUAUGCCAGAGGAUUCUACUUAGAACCCCUUCCUUCCCCCAGAAAAAAACAGAAAAUGCAAACUUACCAAGUUUCCUUCUUUAGGAGGAACAGUCCCUAUGUAUGGCGCAAAUCACAAUGUCCCUCUUUUCUGUCCUAAUGUCCCUCUUUUCUUGGAGCACCAUAUUGUUAGUUUGCCUGAGUGUAUAACAGAGCUCCAUAAAAAAAAAAAAAAAAUGUGUAUUUAAACUACAAUAAAUGUGUUUAGAAAUCAGUCUGUGUUGAUAAGAUACAUUUUUCUUGUUCUAAAUGACAUUUAGUUGCAUACAUUGUUAUUACUAAGUCGCCUAAAAUUUCUCAGAUCCACCCUGCCCCUGGCUAAAAGUGUCCCUCUUUGUCUAUUUGAAAUGUUGGGAGGUACGGUCAGUAUGCAAUUCUUGCGGGGAGGGGGGGGGGGGCAGCUAUGAUGCACAAGGUACAUUUUGUACAUUAUAAAGAGUAUGGAGGCAUACAACAUGCCUUGCAUUUGGAUCAUCAUUAGCAGUAUUUGAAGUCUGACAUUUCAGGAUAUGUGUUUUUACUCUUUAGGCUACUGGGCUAUAUAUAGUCUCCGUUAGAAACACAUCACCAGAACAAGACAGAUUUUUUGCUGUGUUGCACAGGACCUUUUGGUUCUUCUCCCCUUACCUUUGGCAGCAGUAUACAGUAGUAAAGUCAAUAGCUGAGUGGGUCAUUUCAUUUUAAAACUGUAAUAUUAAAAGGAGAAACAGUGUCUUUAAAGGGAAACUAUAGUCAUAAUAACCACUAGAGCUUAAUAUAGUGGUUCUGGUGUCUAUGACAUGUCCCCUCCGGCUUUUCAAAGUAAACACUGCUUUUUCAGAGAAAAGGCAAUGUUUAUAUUGUUGCCUAGUAACACCUCUAGGUGCAGCUACUCUGACAGCCACUAGAGAUUUUUCCUAUCUCAGUGCAGCAUUAUCUGCAGCACCUACAUUCAGCGUCUCCAUGCUUUGCAUGAACGCACCUCAUAGAGAUGCAUUGAUUCACAAACAGCAGUAUAUGUAUGUGUGUAUAUAUAUAUAUAUAUAUAUAUAUAUAUAUAUAUACACAUAUAUAUAUACAUGCGGCGUGUGUUUGUGCUUUAGGGUGCACACCCUAAUGCAAUAGGCUGCACACGCCUAUGGUGUUAAUUAAUCUAAUAUUUUUAUUAUGGUUUAUAUUACCAUUAGUCUUUAAAAGGGUAAAGAGAUUUACAAAUCAUUCUGCCAACUCCAGCACUUAUAGUCCUAAAUAACACUGAAGUGUGUUACAGCAAAAUAAUCAUAUGAGAGGUUUUGUAGACAUCUAUCACCUGCUUAGCUUUAACAUCCAACUGAUCACAGUGCAGAGAAGAGCUUCCUCGGAAUGUACUGUGUCAUCAAGUAGAAUUUAUGGUUCUGAUGGUGCUAUCACCAGUCAAUUCAUUUUUCAUUAGGUUGUACUUAUGUUUUGUUUUUUCUGUUUUGGUUCUAGCGAGUGCUAGUUGUCAGACCUAUCAUCGACAGAAAAGGCAGCUGUGUGUUUUUUUUUUUAUCUUACCAUACAUUCAUGCACCCAUCACAAAUUUAGCUGUGGCCUUUUAUUGUGGCCAGCCUAAGGCACACCUGUGCAAUAAUCAUGACGUCUAAUUAGCAUCUUGAUAUGCCACACCAGGUGGAUGGAUUAUCUCGGCAAAGGAGAAGUGCUCACUAACACAGAUUUAGACAGAUUAGUGAACAAUAUUUGAGAGAAAUAGGCCUUUUGUGUACAUUGAAAAAGUUUUAGAUCUUUGAGUUCAGCUCAUGAAAAAUGGAGGCAAAAACAAGUGUUGCAUUUAUUAUUUUGUUCAGUGUAUAUAUGCACAAUCACAUACCCAUACACACCAGUAGCGUCGCUAGGGGGGGGCCAGAGGGGGCCAUGGCCCCCCCUACAUCAUGCUGGGCCCCCCAAAUGCCGGCAACUUGCUGGCCAUGUGUUUAAAUUUUAUUCCCUUGGGCUGUAACAGUCUGUGACAGCCCGAGGGAAUGCAGGACAGAGGGGCUGGGGGCUGUCUGUGGCUGGAGGGAGCACUGAAAGGCUCCCUGGCAAGACCCCGCCUCCAAAUAAAGCCCCGCCUCCCGCACAUAAGCCCUGUCCCCGCCGUUAAGCAGCAGACCAUGCUGCUGCUGGAAAAGCCAGAAGAUGGCUGUCUGACCCCCAGCACCAGCCUCCAGUGACAGGUAGGCUUGAUGUGCUUGUGUCUGUGUGUGUGUCUGUCUGUCUGCUAGUGAGGAAGCUUGUGUGUGUCUGUGUCUGUGUGUGUAUGGACUCAGCAGUCUGUGUGUCUGUGUCUAUGGAGUCAGCAGUCUGUGUGUGUGUAUGGAUUCAGCAGUCUGUGUGUCUGUGUGUAUGGACUCAGCAGUCUCUGUGUGUGUGUAUGGACUCAGCAGUCUGUGUGUGUGUAUGGACUCAACAGUCCGUGUGUGUGUAUGAACUCAGCAGUCUGUAUGUGUGUAUGAACUCAGCAGUCUGUAUGUGUGUAUGGACUCAGCAGUCUGUAUGUGUGUAUGGACUCAGCAGUCUGUGCAUGUCUGUGUGUGUGUGUAUGAACUCAGCAGUCUGUGUAUGGACUCAGCAGUCUAUGCGUGUGUGUGUGUAUGGACUCAGCAGUCUGUGUAUUGACUCAACAGUCUGUGUGUGUAUGAACUCAGCAGUCUGUGUGUGUGUGUGUGUGUGUGUAUGGACUCAGCAAUCUGUGUGUGUGUGUAUAUGAAAUUAAGCAGUCUGUGUGUGUGUGUGUGUAUGGACUCAGCAGUCUGUGUAUGGACUCAGCAGUCUAUGCGUGUGUGUGUGUGUAUGGACUCAGCAGUCUGUGUAUUGACUCAACAGUCUGUGUGUGUAUGAACUCAGCAGUCUGUGUGUGUGUGUGUGUGUGUGUAUGGACUCAGCAAUCUGUGUGUGUGUGUAUAUGAAAUUAAGCAGUCUGUGUGUGUGUGUGUGUAUGGACUCAGCAGUCUGUGUAUGGACUCAGCAGUCUAUGCGUGUGUGUGUGUAUGGACUCGCAGUCUGUGUAUGGACUCAGCAGUCUGUGUAUUGACUCAACAGUCUGUGUAUGUGUGUGUGUGUGUAUGAACUCAGCAGUCUAUGUGUGUGUGUGUGUGUGUAUGGACUCAGCAAUCUGUGUGUGUGUGUGUAUGGACUCAGCAGUCUGUGUGUGUGUGUAUGGACUCAGCAGUCUGUGUGUAUGAACUCAGCAGUCUGUGUCUACCACGUAAGAAGGAGUCUACCACGUAAGAAGGAGUAGCACUACAAUGUCUAUCUGCUUUGCACUUUUGGAGCUUAGCCCUAACUAAGUCUAUCUUAAUUUCUCCAAACUGCUUUCUACACUUGGCAUACCCGUAGGAGAGAAAGAACUCGGAGGCACAACAGGGUCAAACCCAUAGUUAAUAUAAAAAGGACUGUGUUGCGUAGACUCGUGUACUUGGAUGUUAUGAACUCAGCCCAAGGGCGUAAACCAACCCAAUUGUCUUGAUAUUCAGAAGUAAAACAUCAAAGGUAUUGUUCAAGGAAAUGGUUCAUCCUCUCGAUAGCACCAUUAGACUGAGGAUGAUAUGAGGAUCAAAAAAUUCAAUUGUAUACCUAAUUAAUUACAGAAUGCCUUCCAGAAUCUGGAAAUAAAUUCUAUAGUGUUCCUUUAAAUGUAUAAUUUCAUUAAAGUGGCUAGAGUCAGGAAAUAAGACAUUAUUUUUAAUAAAGGAAUAAUUGGAAAAUGCAUACUGCAUAUGAAUUAAAGCUAUUUUAAUGUAUUAUUUUGUUCAGUGACUUUUCCUAAAGGGAAAACCCGGUCACCUUAUGCUGGGGUCACUGGCUAGAAAGCCACACGGGGAUUUACUACCGUCGAGUAGUGGGAAUGUAUUUUUCUUACUGUAGAUACAUCCUACAGGCAAUAUUUUUAACACAGUCCUGCAGUGUACACUGGCCAUAGUCAUAGCCAGCUGAAAAUCUGCUCACUCCAUUAACUAAUGUUGCCUGAGUUGUUUCAUAUUAUUUGGAAAGGCAAAUCAGUCAUUAAACAAGUUUUAGAAAUAAUCAAAUUAAAAAAAAUAUUAAAUGACACUGGCAGUUUUUUUUUUUUUAGAAAAAAAAUCACUACAGACUAUUUUAAAAAGAAAAAUAACAGCAGGCAAGAAUUUAAAUAUUGUAAUAUAAUUAAACUGAAAUAUAGAAAUUCUUUGUCAUCCUGUAGCCAACAAAAACAACCUGCCUAAAAUGUAUGAAUGCCUAAGUAUACUUUGAGAGGGAAGCAAAAGUCCAAAUACAUUUUAAAACCUCAAAUUAACCCUUCCUAAAAGCUAUAUGGCAAUUCUUUCACUACAUUGAUUAAUCCAGUUAAUGCUGUGUAUUACUGCACCACAGAGCUGCUCUAUGCAACUGCACUGGCAGGCACGCAACAACAAAAAUGACUGAAACCAGCAUGUUUAGUUGCCAGAACAAUGGUGGAUCUAAUGAUGAAAAGGCCUUGGUGCAAUACAUUGUUUUGGAUCACUCCUCUAGCACAAGGAUGGACAAAUGGUAAAAUACCCAUAUUCCUGGCUAAUCAUGGCAGCAUCACUUAUAGGUAGCUCCGCCCUUAGCAGUCACAGGACAGGAAUUAAUUAAUUAGACUGAUGAGUAUAAACAGUACAUCCUCCCCUUACACCUCAGUCUUUUUUCCUGUCCUUAGCAAGUUCUACAGGACUUUUUACAUUUUAUUUUAUGGCCACCUUUCUGCGUUUGUCGUGGGUUCGUUCCGAAUAAAGUUCAGCCUCUCUUCAUUUGAAGGACCCAGUAAACAGCCUGCAUGAGCAGGACUACCUAGGUCAGGUUCAGUGUAUGUACUUGACUGCUGCGUUGGAUUUAGAUUGGUGUUCUAAGGGAAACACGGCUACAGGUAAUUGGAGAAUGGGGUUGGUCCUCCUUAAAAAUUCCCCUUGUUGUUUGACUUGCCCCUAGUAAUUGGGGUCUAAACCCCCCCCCCCCUCCACUAGCAUUGGUGGCAGUGUUUGGGAUCCAUACUGCAGGGGGUCCUCCUGUGGGGGGAUCCUGUAAGCUUACUUGUGCUUAGUGGUCUUUCCUGAGGGUGGAUUCCCUCUCUGCUGCGGCUGGGGUGCUCUCUAUUGUUUCCUGUGGGUUUCUGGAGAGGCCAGCGUUGUUGGCUGGAACGCAGUGUGCUUUUCAGCAGGCGGAAGUGACGUCGCGGCCGGGCCGGCGAAACCGGAAGUGAUGUGUAUUUUGGCCGCGAGCGUUUGGAACACAUAGCGUGCGUUCCAGCAGUCUGCUUAUGCGCGGAUCAGCAGUUUCCCCGGCGCUAUUUAAACUGGGGGAUCCUGGUUCUCUGCCUGCUCGAUGAGUCAGCUGUUGGUUGGAAGAAGUUGAUCCUGUGUGCUCAGUUUCUGCUCCUUUGCUCUGUGCUUGGCUGCCUGGAGUGGUUAUCAGGUAGGAUGCCUUGUUUCUUCUUGUGUUUCUUGUUUUUGGGAAUUUGCUGGUCAGUUUGCUGCUGUCUUUUUUUUUACUGGGACAUGUGUUUUACUUUCCUUCAAUUCUCCUUUUAUUAUGGAUUCCCCGUCUGCCUCUGCAAGAUCCCUCUCUAGAAAACAUAGGUGAGCCAUUAAUUUUUUCAUGGGGGGGUUGUUAAAAAGAGUGCCAAACUAAGCCUGUAAUAUAUGUUAUAUAUGGAUUUAUUUCAGCUCCAGCAAGCAUCUGGAUUCAAGGAAAUCAAGGGAAAAGACCAAUAAAUGCAUUCAUUGUUCUUCACCUGCUCCGCAUGGAAGAAACCUCUGCAGGAAAUGCUUAUUGGAAGUGGCAGAUGUCCCCAGUAGGAGUUCCCCACAGGAUGACCUUAAACUCUGGAUUUCCCAAGCUAUUGCUGAGGGCUUUAAGCCUACCACAGUGUCUAGUGGUCCGAGUAAGAGAUGCAGAGCGGAACCCCUGAUGUGUGGGAGGUCUCAGAUGAUGGUGAAGAGGAAGUUGAAUAUACCUUCAGGUCUCUCGACUCGAAGUCUAUUGAUAGACUUAUUACCCUCCUCAGAGACACUCUUAGUCUCACGGAAGGAAAGUCUGAAUUGAGAGAGGCUGACAGGGUUUUUGAGGACCUAAAACCAAAUAGACCGACUUUCCCGGUACAUUCCUCUAUUAGGGAUAUGAUCCUUUAAGAAUGGAAUAAGCCAGAAAGGAAAUCCACCUUGAAAAAUAAAUUCACAAGGAUUUAUCCUUUCUCUGCCGUGGACUGCUGCCUAUGGAAUUCAGUUCCUAAGAUUGACGCUGCUGUGAUUCAUAUGGCAAAGAAAACUACACUUCCUAUUGACUCCAUGGCAUAUCUCAGAGAGCCUAUGGAAAAGCAUAUGGAUGGGGAUUUGAUUAAAGCCUACUUGGCCCUGGGCUCCGCCCUUCAUCCGGCAGUGGCACUAACCACUCUCUCCAGGGCUUUAAGAGUGUGGCUCGCUAAUUUGGAGGAGGACAUUGAUCGGGGUGUCUGUAGGGAACAUCUCUUGGAGAGCCUCAAGGAAUUCUGUUCAGAAGCCUCCCUAGACAUCACUCACAUGAUUGCCAAGAGUAUGGCCCUGUCUGUGGCUUCUAGAAGUGCCUUAUGGCUUCAUUCGUGGGGUGCGGACUAUGCCUCUAAGGCGUCCUUGUGUGGCCUUCCAUUCCAGGGGGAUCUCCUAUUUGGCAAAAUUCUGGAGGAUGCUAUUCAAAAAGCUGCUGAUGGGAAAAAAAGCAUUUUUGCCUCAAGUAAGCAGAAAGAGCUUUUCCUCCUCCUGGAAGACUAAGCGUUUCAAGGAUCGGUCCUUUCGGGACAGCAGAAGCUACAAACCUGGAAGGGAAUAUUCCAGAAAUUCUUCAUGGAAAUCCUUCUCGCAUUCUUUGUCCAAUAAGGCUUCCAGAAGAAGAGGAGCUAGAACCUCUGGGAAGAACUUCUGAAGGUCUUCAGGCCCGUUCGGGGACUGUGGGAGGAAGUUGUUCUACCCCGUGUGGGCCAAAAAUAUUAUGGACGUGUGGGUCACAUCCAUCAUAUAGGAGGGCUACAGGAUACAAUUUUCCUCUCACCCAAAAUUUGCUUUCUUCAAGAAAUCCAGGGUGUCGGCAGGCAUCAAACGAAGGGCCAUGAGGACCUGCAUUUCUACUCUUCUGAAACAGAAAGUGGUAGAAGAAGUUCUAAGACAGGAAAAGUUCUUUAUGGUUUACUCCACAGUGUUCUUGGCCCCAAAACCCCAGGGAAAGUGGCGUCUCAUCUUGAACUUGAAGGGUGUGAACUCCAUGCUCGAUGUGAGAACAUUCAAAAUGGAAUCUUUACAGACCAUCUUGAAGAGCAUCAAAAGAGUAGACUGGAUGACCUCCAUAGACUUGAGGGACACCUACUACCAAAUCCCUAUAAACCGAGAUCAUAUGCAGUUUCUCAGGUUCUGGGCGCUAUGAAGGCACUUUCAGUUCCGGGGACUACCAUUUGGCCUCAGCUUGGUGCCAAGAAUGUUCUCGAAAGUUCUUGUGACUUUGAUAGCCUUCAGAGAGAAAGGUAUCGAGAUCUUCCAUUACUUGGACAACAUCCUUAUCAUAGGUCGAUCUCAAAGGAUAGUAGAUCAUCACACGUUGGCUUCUCAACGUGGAAAAAAGCCCCCUGAUUCCUUCAGACGAUCGUAUUCCUCAGAGCAGUGAUAAACACCAUACCUGCCCAUGUGUGCCUAUCCCUGGAAAGGGUCACAAAGAUCACAAAACAAAGUAGGGAAGCUACAAGGUCUCGAGACUGCCUCCGCAAGAGAAGUCAUGAGUCUCCUGGGUUCUUUCACAUCGACUAUAGGGUUGGUAAAAUGGGCCCAGUGGAAGUUUCAUCUGGUCCAGAAUUGCUUCCUUCUCCAGUUCGACAGAGUGGGAGCAGAUUGGGAGCAAAGGAUCUCACUGCCGUGGCUCGUGAGGAAAGGGUUGAACUGGUGGAAGAGCAAGAAGAAUUUGGCAGCAGGCUUCCCAUUGGAGGAACCUCCUUGGAUGGUUAUUACAACAGAUGCCAGUUCUUUUGGAUGGGGUGCCCACUUCAAUUCCACAUGGACUCAAGGGAAGUGGACCCGAGAAGAGAGUCAGCUACACUCAAAUCUCAAAGCUAUUUCCAAGGCCAUCUUGGUAUUCCUACCAAGGAUCUUAAAUUCUUGGAUACUGAUCAAAACGGACAUCCGAGCGGUUGCUUCAUAUGUGAACAACCAAGGAGGCACAAGAAGCAGAUUGCUCUUGAAGGAACUAGCUCCCUUGAUGACAAUCGCCAUGACCAAUCUCCAGGGUCUGAAGGCAAUCUAUCUUCCAGGUUCGGAGAACGUGACUGCAGACUUCCUCAGCAGAAAGGAAAUUCUUCCGGGAGAAUGGAAACUUCACCCGGCAGUCUUUGCAUGGAUUGCCCAUCGGUGGGGCAUGCCCCAGAUCGACCUGAUGGCGUCCUCCCAGAAUCAUCAGGUGGAGAAUUACUUCUCCCUCCACCCGGACAGUCAGGCACUGGGCCAGGAUGCUCUCUCUCUUCCUUGGUCAUUCUUUCUGUAUUCCCUCACCUACCCGUGAUACCCAAGUUCCUGCGGAAGGUGUGGUUGGAAGGAAAGAAGGUUAUUGCCAUAAUUCCGGUUUGGCCUCCCCUACUAUCCAUUAUGGUUUCCCCUACUAUCCAUUAUGAUCCAGGAACGGCCUUGGCCUCUUCCCUUUAUGGAGGAUCUGCUAACGCAGGGCCCAAUAUUCCAUCCUCAUGUAGAACGCCUCAAAUUGGGGGUAUGGGUCUUGAAAAAGAAAGACUUCAACAAUUAGGGCUCUCAGAAGCUAUGGUUAAUACCCUUUUGCAUUCAUGGAAAGCUUCUACUUCCUCAUGCUACAAUUGGAUCUGGGAUGUGUUCAGGGAAUGGACUUUGGCCAAGAGUAUUGACUUUCUGCAUCCUCACAAUACUGAGAUCUUGGAGUUCCUGCAAGAAGGUCUGGAUAAGGGCCUUAGCCUCAGCACUCUUAAAGUUCAGUCUUCGGCUCUUUCAGCUUUGUGCAACAUCUCAUGGACUUCGGGUUCCUUUGAUCUCCAGGUUCUUCAAGGCAGCUUUCAGGUUGAGACCUCCUUCCAGAUCUACUACCCCUCCUUGGGACCUUCCACUGGUUCUCAAUUACCUAACUAAGGAUCUGUUCAUUCCUUAUGAGAGUUUGGAUGCUACCCUCCUGACGUAUAAAACUUUGUUUUUGGUGGCAAUUACUUCCGCAAGAAGAAUUUCGGAGAUUAAAGCAUUUUCUACCUUAUCUUCUUGUCUACAAUUCUAUCAUGAUAGGGUGUGUCUGGAAUCAAAACCUGAGUUUCUUCCUAAGGUGGUCUCUCAGUUUCAUCUCUCUCAGGAAGUGGUCCUUCCAUCGUUCUACCCCAAUCCUUCUUCGCAAGAGGAGGUUAGAUGGCAACGUUUGGAUGUCGUGAACUGCCUGUCUACCUUAAGUGUUCUGAGUCUUACAGAAAAACUGACCAACUCUUCGUCUUACCGUCUGGAGCCAGGAGACGUGAGGCGGCCUCUUUAUCUACAUUAAAACGGUGGAUUUCGUUAGUGAUCAGGAAAGUAUAUAUCUCUAAAGGUCGAUCUCCUCCAAUGAAGAUAAGACCUCAUUCUACUAGAGCAUUGUCGACUUCAUGGGUUAAUUGGGCAGAGGUUCCAUACGAUGAUAUUUGUAGGGCAGCCACCUGGUCUUCCCCGAUGACGUUCAUAAAACACUACAAAAUGGAUGUGGACACUCCUUCCACCUCCUUUGGGAAGAGUGUCCUGUCUACGGUUUCUUUAUCCUGUUGAUAUUAAAUUUCUUUGCAGCAUAGAGUCUGUUUAGUGUCUUUCUCGAUUUAGUAUUCCCACCCUAUAAUUCUGUGAGCUUGGGCAUUACCCAUAAGUGAUGCUGCCAUGAUUAGCCAGGAAUAGAGAAAAUUUAUGACAAACUUACCGUAAUUUUCUUUUCCUGGCUAUUUCUCAUGGCAAAAUCAGGGUUCCCGCCCAUUCUUUUAUUUUUCAGCUUUAUAAUUGGACUGAGGUGUAAGGGGAGGAGGGACUCUUUAUACCCGUCAGUCUAAUUAAUUAAUUAAUUCCGGUCCUGUGACUGCUAAGGUAGGAGCUACCCAUAAGUGAUGCUGCCAUGAGAAAUAGCCAAGAAAAUAAAAUUACGGUAAGUUUGUCAUAAAUAUUCUCUAUUUCGUACAACUCCCACAAUGCAAUGCCAGCUGGGAAUCUACCAUUUGCCCAACCUAACUUGUUGUACCUGUGAGCAGUGUUUGUGGCAUUUGAAUGUUAGCAUGUUUUUGUAUAGACUAUGUGUGUAUGCAUGUAGACUGUAUUUCCAUGUACUGUUGCCACUGGAGUAAGUAGUGUACUUCUAUGUAAUGUUUGCGUUUGAAUGUAGAGGUAUGUUUGUAUGUGGUGUUGGCUUUUAAAAUGCAGGAGUACUUUUAUGUGUAGUGUUGGUGUUUGAAUGAAAAUGUGUUUCUAUAAAAUAUUGGCAUUUUAAUACAUGGGUGUGUUUGUAAUGUUUGCUUUUGAUUGCAGGGGGAUGUUUGUAUGCAGUGUUGGAUUUUAAAUGCCGGUGUAGAUUUUAAAUGUACAUUUUAAAUGUAGGGCUUAUUUGUAUAUCAUUUUGGUGUUUGACUCCAGGGAUAUAUUACAGGGAGUGCAGAAUUAUUAGGCAAAUUAGUAUUUUGACCACAUCAUCCUCUUUAUGCAUGUUGUCUUACUCCAAGCUGUAUAGGCUCGAAAGCCUACUACCAAUUAAGCAUAUUAGGUGAUGUGCAUCUCUGUAAUGAGAAGGGGUGUGGUCUAAUGACAUCAACACCCUAUAUCAGGUGUGCAUAAUUAUUAGGCAACUUGCUUUCCUUUGGCAAAAUGGGUCAAAAGAAGGACUUGACAGGCUCAGAAAAGUAAAAAAUAGUGAGAUAUCUUGCAGAGGGAUGCAGCACUCUUAAAAUUGCAAAGCAAGCAUGAUCAUCGAACAAUCAAGCGUUUCAUUCAAAAUAGUCAACAGGGUCGCAAGAAGCGUGUGGAAAAACCAAGAAAAUAACUGCCCAUGAACUGAGAAAAGUCAAGCGUGCGCUGCCACGAUGCCACUUGCCACUAGUUUGGCCAUAUUUCAGAGCUGCAACAUCACUGGAGUGCCCAAAAGCACAAGGUGUGCAAUACUCAGAGACAUGGCCAAGGUAAGAAAGGCUGAAAGACGACCACCACUGAACAAGACACACAAGCUGAAACGUCAAGACUGGGCCAAGAAAUAUCUCAAGACUGAUUUUUCUAGGUUUUAUGGACUGAUGAAAUGAGAGUGAGUCUUGAUGGGCCAGAUGGAUGGGCCGUGGCUGGAUUGGUAAAGGGCAGAGAGCUCCAGACUCAGACGCCAGCAAGGUGGAGGUGGAGUACUGGUUUGGGCUGGUAUCAUCAAAGAUGAGCUUGUGGGCCUUUUUGGGUUGAGGAUGGAGUCAAGCUCAACUCCCAGUCCUACUGCCAGUUCCUGGAAGACACCUUCUUCAAGCAGUGGUACAGGAAGAAGUCUGCAUCCUUCAAGAAAAACAUGAUUUUCAUACAGGACAAUGCUCCAUCACACGCGUCCAAGUACUCCACAGCGUUGGCAAGAAAGGGUAUAAAAGAAGAAAAUCUAAUGACAUGGCCUCCUUGUUCACCUGAUCUAACCCCAUUGAGAACCUGUGGUCCAUCAUCAAAUGUGAGAUUUACUACACCUCUGAACAGUGUCUGGGAGGCUGUGGUUGCUGCUGCAAAUGUUGAUGGUGAACAGAUCAAAACACUGACAGAAUCCAUGGAUGGCAGGCUUUUGAGUGUCCUUACAUGGCUAUAUUGGUCACUGAUUUGUUUUGUUUUGUUUUUGAAUGUCAGAAAUGUAUAUUUGUGAAUGUUGAGAUGUUAUAUUGGUUUCCUGGUAAUAAUAAAUAAUUGAAAUGGGUAUAUAUUUGUUUUUUGUUAAGUUGCCUAAUAAUUAUGUAAUAGUCACCUGCACACACAGAUAUCCCCCUAACAUAGCUAAAACUAAAACAAACUAAAAACUACUUCCAAAAAUAUUCAGCUUUGAUAUUAAUGAGUUUUUUGGGUUCAUUGAGAACAUGGUUGUUGUUCAAUAAUAAAAUUAAUCCUCAAAAAUACAACUUGCCUAAUAAUUCUGCACUCCCUGUAGUAUGUAAUUUUUGUGUUUGUUUGCAAGGGUGUGUUGGCGUUUAGUGAUGGAGCUUGAUUGCUGGGAUGUAUACACAUAUACACUAGGGAUGUGCAUGGGGAAAAUAUUCGAUUCGGCAUUCCGAAAUUUGGGACUUCGGAACUUCGGCACUUCGGAUGUUCUCUUGCAGCUGCAUAGUAGAUAACUCCCUAAUUCCUAUGGUAUUAGGGAGCUAUCUACCAAAAGGCUGAAAGGCCUAAAUUGGUCUUUCAGUUAAAUUUACUAAUACUAAGUAAAGAUUACUUAGUAUUAGCAAAUGCUUACAGCUGAAUCCUGGCUAUAUUUGUCUACUUUUUAUUUAAACUGGUAUACAGUGUAACAUUCUUCCACUGGGUAUAUUAGUACUUCGGCAAUUCUGUGCUUUGAAGCUUCGGCACUUCGACACCUUGGAAAUUCGGCAAUUCAGCAGAAGUAUCCGAAUGUCCAAAUUGUCUGAAAUUCGUCAAAAUUGACAUUCGGAAUGAAACGAAUUGCACAUGUCUAAUAUACACAUAUGCUGCCACACACAUACAUACUUACACAGAUACAUGUACACAUUGACACACAAACACAGAUACUCAAUUGAAAACACAGGCGCACACUCAGAUAUACACUGACAUAUACACUCAGAUACACACAUAUGCACACUAACACAUACACCCACACUGACACACAUGGUUACCCACAUUGAUACACACAGAGACUGACACACAUAGAUACCCACACUGAUACACACACAAAUUGACACACAUAGAUGCAUACACUGACACACAUGUACACACACUGACUGACACAUACACAUGUCAUAAUUCAUAUAUUUUUAGCCACCUGUUGUUAACAUACCUUUUGUGUGCAGUAGGGUGGGGCUUGCCUGGGGCCUGCUGCUGGCUGAGGCUGAUGGGAUUGUAUUUACUCAUGUGGCUAUUGCACCCUUUAGUGCCCCGAUGUGUCUCCUACCUUUAUUGUAGCGUGGCCGAGGGGACCGCAGUAUGGGAGCUUCAUUCUCCUGUACCUGGCCGGACUAACAGGAAGUGCUCUCUCAGUGAGAACUUCCUUUCAGCCCGGCCAGCACAGGAAACACAAGUUCCUGUACCGUGGUGCGCACUGCUCCGCUCGGGCACGCUACACAGAGCGGUCACUCCAACACAAGCAGCCAGUGCGCCCAAAGGCGGCUGCUUGUGUUGCCUUAUGGACGCACCGGCCCUGGUGCCAGACUCCUUCUCCAGAAUUUGACUUUGCUAUUUAACUCUGUAACCACUACCAGCAUCUGUCUACUUAACCACAUGCACUCAACACCGAAUGGAAGUUCUUUUCCAAUACUGAGUUAGACAUACAAUAUUCAGAGUUAGUUAUACUAUAGAGAUAAACAUACAUACAUGGUUGGUGCAAAGUCCAUUCUCUAAAGUACCAGUAAGUACGUUUGGUGAGUUUUACUUGGAUUGCACUGACUUUUGUGUUGCCUUGCUAUCGGCAAAUAAAGCAUCAUGGCCCCUUGUCUCUAUAUUUGAUUUUUAAUUUUUUUUCAAAGAAUGAAAAUUCUAAAUCUGAAACAAAGAUACAGCAAAACCUAAUAUAAACCAAAUAAAGAAUAAUCUUUUAAAAAUAUAACCACAGAUAGUAGAACACAAUUGUGUAUGUGUUUCUAUGUUUUUUAUAGGUUUUACUUCAUCCUCUUUUCAAAUGUAAGGCUGAUUCACAAACCCACGCUUGUUUUUGUUUCAUAACGGCUUGUGAACUUUGCCUGGUAUUGUGAAUCACAGUUUUAAAAUGUCUUAAAGGGACACUCCAGAUGGUUACAGCACUUUAACUUGCUGAAGUGCUUCAUGUGUGAAGAGUGCGUCCCCUUUUUCAUUUGACUAAAGUACAGAUUUCAAUAGAAAUUAGCACUUUUAUAAAUUAAAUGGUUACUCCAACCACCAUGAACACUUCUACUUUUAGAAGUGGUCAUGGUGCUGUGUGUGUAAGGGGGGACUGUGUGUGUAAGGGGGGGCUGUGUAUGUAAGGGGGGCUGUGUGUGUAAGGGGGGCUGUAUAUUUGUGUGUGGUGCAGUGUGUAGGGGGUUAUAAUUUGUGUGAGGGGAUAGGGGACAGAUUAAAGAUAAAAAAAAUAAAUAACUAAAUAAAUAAAUAUAGAUAAUGUCACCCCUCCCUUCUUACUUUUGCCGAGGGAGGGGGAGACACUGCUUUCUCUUCCAUUCCCUGGUGGUUCUAGUGGGGGAGUGAACUCUAACCUGCAGCUCAGGCUAGAGUUCACUCUCGCGAGCACGGAGCGUUGCCAUGGUAACGCCCCGUGCUCGCGAGAGGAGAACCCGGCGGAGCUGCAGGUAAUAGCAACCCCGGGUUCUCUCACUCACUCCCCUGCCGGCCGCCCAGCAAUCUGCCUGUGGGCCGGGGAGGGAGAUCACUGAUCUCCCCUCCGGUCCGUGUUGGCAAACAGCAGGGCUGGUGCUUGGAUAGCACCAGCCCUGCAUGGGCCGGCAGAGGAGAGCCUCGGGCAGCUAUAUUUUCUCCGGGGGUUGCCCCGUUGCCCCCUGGAUCCGCCAAUGGUUCUACCCCCAGCACACAUGACUUAGGCAGCCCAGAACUCUUCUCUGGGCUGCUUAAUGGUUAUUCUGUGCAAAAAUGAUGUCUGUCAUCGGUGCUUAUUCUUUAUUUUAUAUUAGUUUUAGGUUUUGCAGUAUGUGUGUCAAUUCAGAAUUUUAAUUGUCUUAUUAUAGUCUUUAUUUCCCUCCUAAAACAUACAUACAAAAAAUAAAAAACAUAGUAUUUUAUUUGUAACUGUAUUAAUACUGUUAAAGGAAUAUUGUUAAAAUGAACACUCUGGGCACCAUAAUAACGAAUGGUUUAACCCCGAAAUUUUGAAACUGUCACCCAUCAGUUCGACCCAGCUACUUCCAUUGCAGUUGGAGGCUUGAAUCUGGAAGCUUCAGGCUGGGAGUCACUCUUAGUAGCUCAGUAGCUCCCAAUUCACAGAACAGAGUGAGAACAAUAUGUAUGUUACUCCUUUUCAGAUCACUAUACAGGGAAUGGACAUUUAUUCAUACUUUGUUACACAGAUUCCUCCUCAUGACAUCACCUGAUUUCUCCUUCUCUUUUCAUGAUUCUAUCUCAUUUGACCUCACUACCUCUUCCUUCUGCUCACUGUUCCACACUAGCAAGCGAUCACCCUGGCCUCUACCUAGGACUUCAAUAAAUUCUCCCUCUAUCAGUCCAUUCAGAUUCAGCAAAUUUUCAACAUUUAAGAUUAUGGUUUCAAACAUCAGAAAAACAGAUACAUAAUAGCAAGCCGUAUUAUUGUAAACAAUUAGCAUGCUCAUACUUUACCCUGUUAUUAGUAACCUAAAUAUGCCCUACAUUUUAGUAUUUAAAUAUUUUUUUAUUUUUUGUUAUAAUUACUUUUCCUCGAUAGAUCUCCACUUUCUGCUCUUCCUCAAUUUGCAGUGGCGAUAAUAUUGGCCCCAGUAUAUAAAGGUGUACAUGGUAACAGGUUUCUGGGAGUUAUAGUUCCACUAUAAGGAUCUAAAACUUGAACUCGAUUUUAAUGCUGACAACAGAUGUAAUAAUCUUUCACCUUCCUCCACUACUUGUAUUGCCUUUUUAGUUUCUUCAUUUAAAUUCCCUCUCCCACCCUCAUUCCACUUUUUCCUCUCCUCCUCACAUGUGCUCAGAGCUGGCAAUACGGACCAAUCACAGGCUUUCCUUUGAUAAGCCUAUGAGUUUACCGCACGAGGCCCCUUGUGAAGUCAGGACAUGGCAUGAAAGUCAGCAGUAAAAUAUUUUUUGCAGGUUUUACUGGGAACAGAUGGAACUAAAUUCAUCAUGCCCAGUGGCUUACCUACCACGGUCGCAGGGGUUGCAGCUGCGACUGGGCCCCUCACUGCAGGGGGCCCGGCCGCAGCCACGACCCCUCUGUCAGUGGGCCGCCUAGAUGCCGCUGUGUUCCCCCUUUCAUAGGGGGGCCCAAGAUGGACCCCCCGGCAGGCGGUAGAGUUCCUGUCAGACGCGGCGAGAGAGCGGUGUUCUCUCUUCUCUGCUCCCUCGUACACCGUUUGCUGAUGCUGGGAGACGGAAUAUGACGUUAUAUUCCGGCUCCCGGCAUCAGUAAAAAGCCCGCGAGGGAGCAGAGCAGAGAGAACACAGCUCACUUGCUGCAUCUGACAGGAACUCUGCCGCCCGCCGCACUGAAGCCCCACUGGACCCCAGGGACAGAUCCACGCCAGCUCUCCAGGUAGGGAGGCUGGGUGGACAUUUAAUAUGAAUAAUUUGUGUAUGUGUGUGUCUGAAUGUGUAUGUUUGUGUCUGUAAGUGUAUGUGUGUCUCAGUGUGUGUAUAUGUGUGUGUGUGUGUAAGUGUAUGUGUGUCUGAGUGUGCUUGUGUGUCUGUGAGUGUGUGUCUGUGAGUGUACGUGUGUAUAUCUCUGAGUGUGUGUAUAUGAGUGUUUGUGUCUCUACAUGUGUCUGUAUGUAUGUCUGUAUGUAUAGGUCUCUGUGUAUGUGUGUGUGUGUCUGCAGGUGUAUGUGUUUGUCUACAUAUGUGGGGUGGUAGGGCGGGGACGUGGGGGUAGGAGGUAGAUGUAUGGAGGGGCCCUAGGGCAAUUUUUGCACCGGGGCCCCGUGGUUUCUAGUUACGCCUCUAAUCGUGCCCAAUAGGGCAUAUUACAGAGGAAAGGAUUGGAGUAGCACUUAAUGUGUUCACUGAAUGCCCAACAUGAUUGGCUGCGUCACUUCCUGGUUUGGUGAAAGUUCACAACAAAUGCUGCAAAGCUUGGACAGCUGUAGAAAAUGCAGGGGUGACAAAUGUGACGAACAUCUGUUACUGAGUGAAUACAUUUUUUAUACACACACACACACACAUAUAUAUAUAUAUAUAUUUAUUUUUUUUAAACCGUGUUAGCUGCAUAAUGUAUUACAAAUGUCUCACCUCUAGCUUCAAGUGACCUUUUAAGAAGAAGAACGUAAUAUAAGAAAUCACGCUGAACAGAUUUUACCCAUACAUUUUUUUAUUUUUUUAUAUAUAGGCCUUGUGCUGACAUCAUCAAAAUACAAAUGAUUUGUGUGGCAAAACAGAAAGUGUUUAUCUGUCGAAGACACAUGUUUUUCAGCUGUCUAGGCUUUAAACCAGAGCUCGCAUGGAUUGACUUCAGGUGAUACAAAUUGGCUGUGUGAGAAGUUCAGGAACACACUUGUCUCUGUGUGCUUGCCAUGGAAACAUUAGCUGCUCUGUGUGCAUGAGGCCUCCUUACAGGGACAUCACAGCCGUCCUGCUUACCUUGGGUAAGCAUUCCUCCGACUUGGUAGCUGCCUCCUCUGGAGGGAUGAUUGCAUAAUGGUGGAAUGAAAACCAUUUCCUCUUCCUACUGUCAGCAAGAAAGAAUUCCACCCACUUUUAAGUGCCCCAGAAGCGGUGGGGAGGGAAGGAGAGUCUUGUUCAGUAAAAAGAGAGUGCAGAGUUUAUUAAUGCAAGAGAUCCUGUUCUACAGAAUGUGUGUCAAGAGUACAGAGAUUGAUCUCUGGGAAUUAGCUAAUCCGACUCUUCCUUCUGUUCUGAGACCGAGAUGUAAAAAGGUUCAGCUGCUUUAGAGUAGGUGAAAUAAAAAUAUGCUGUUUAAUUGCAAUAGCCAGGUAUGCAUUAGUGUAUAGAAAAAGCUAUAUUCUCAAUCACGGAUGAACCUUGCAUUAAGAACCACUUUUGUUUGCGGGAUCAGUGAAAAAUAUAAUUUUGAGAAUUUCUGAGUGCUAAGCAACUUUUUUUUUUAUAUAAAUGCAGAAAUGCUCUGGGUGCUAUAACUCCUGAUUUCACAAGAACAGAGAACAUAAAUAAUAUGUAACUACCUGGAUGUGACCGUGUAAACUAGGGGGUAGAUCCCCAGAUGUUGUAGAACUACAACUCCCACAAUGCUUUGCAAUCCUUUAACCCCUUAAGGUCCAAUCCUCUGGAAUAAAAGGGAAUCAUGACAUGUCACACAUGUCAUGUGUCCUUAACGGGUUAAAGGGUUAAAAUAGCAAAGCAUCAUGGAAGCUGUAGUUUUAACACAUCUGGGGAUAUACCUUUUGGGCAGCCCUGGUGUAAGCCAUUUGUUCUGUGGAAGGCAGAUCUGCUUUCAUUCGGGGAUCCCAAGCAGCACCCUUUAGUCAUUAUGCAGCCUUAGCUCUGAAUGUCAAAAAGAGCACAGUCCAGCAUUAUAGGUUGCAUUUUUUAAUAAUUAUUUUUUUUUGUAUUGUUUUUUUGUUUCGUGUUGCAUGUGUUGGUGCAAUAUUAUAACUUGUAAAAAAUAAAUAAAUGUCAAACUCUAGAUAUCUAUAUACAGGAUUGUAAAACUAUUUACAGCAUUUUCAGAUUAAGACACAGUGUGUUACAGAGAUAUGGGAGAACAGUUGCACGCUGAAGAGAGAAAUCAAUAACAUUUAGACCAAUAAAGUGUUUGUGUACAGGGUGUGUUUGCCUUUUGGCUUAUAUUUGACGUCAGUGGUAUGUUCACCAAACUGUGCGUUCUAAAAUUGAAGGAGCGUUCCAAGCACCAUAAUGGUGGUGCACUCCCAGGUACAUGUAUUCAAACCAUUUGCAAACAGUUUGACAAAUAUCUAAAGCCUGACAGAUACACACAGUCACCUCCUUGUCAGACAGAAUCAUCAGCACUAAGGUAAUCCUGACAGUGCAGGGAAGUGCUUAUUGGCUGAGAACACUCAGCUGAUGCUCUUAGCCAAUGAGUCGGCUUUGCAUUUCAGGGCUUAGGUCACAUAGAAACACAGAAAAAUAGAAUGUGAUGGCAGAUAAGAACCAUUCUGCCUAUCUAGUCUGCCCAAUUUUUUAAAAAUACUUUUAAUUAGUUCCUGGCCUUAUCUUAUAGUUAGGAUAGCCUUAUGCCUAUCCCACGCAUGCUUAAACUCCUUCACUGUGUUAACCUCUACCACUUCAGCUGGAAGGCUAUUCCAUGCAUCCACUACCCUCUUAGUAAAGUAAUACUUCCUGAUAUUAUUUUUAAACCUUUGCCCCAUUGAUUUAAGACUAUGUCCUCUUGUUGUGGUAGUUUUUCUUCUUUUAAAUAUGGUCUCCUCCUUUACUGCGUUGAUUCCCUUUAUAUAUUUAAAUGAUUCUAUCAUAUCCCCCCUGUUACGUCUUUCCUCGAAGCUAUACAUGUUAAGAUCCUUUAACUUUUCCUGGUAAGUUUUACUCUGAAAUCCAUGAACCAGUUUAGUAGCCCUUCUCUGAACUCUCUCUAAAGCAUGGGUCUUCAACCUGGUCCCUACCACCCACUAGUGGGCUUUACAAGAUUCCAGGUGGGCGGUAGGGAUUUCCUCAUUUGGAGAGAUUGGGUGGACGGAUGGGUGCGAGCCGGCGGUACCCCUGCGACCAGGUACCGCCAUCACCAUUUGCGGCCCCGGCCCGGGCGGCAAACCGCCGGGGCCACCGUCAAAGGGGUCCGUCGGGUGGCCCAUGCUGUCAGGGCCACCUGAUGGAUGUGGAAUGUGAGGGGGCCCGGUCAGCGCUGGCCGCUUUAACAGCACGACCGGGCCCCCUGUGAUUACAUCACAGAGCUGGGAGGAAGUGACUGCACGUCACUCCUCCCAGCUUACACUGAGAGCCGCGCGGGAGGAAGACCAGGGAGUCAGAGUGGGAACUCUGACUCCCAUCCACCUGAGCCACCACUGGACCCCAGGGAAAGUCACCCUCCUGCACCUUAAAGGUAUGAAACAGAAGGGUGACUUAAAUAUAAUGUGUGUGUUUGUUUGUGUGUGUGUCUUUGUAUGUAUGUCUUGUGUGUGUGUCUUUGUAUGUAUGUCUUGUGUGUGUCUGUAUGUGUGUGUCUAAAGUAUGUGUCUUUGUAUGUAUGUCUUGUGUGUGUAUGUGUGUCUUGUCUUUGUAUGUAUGUGUUGUGUGUGUCUUGUCUUUGUAUGUAUGUGUUGUGUGUGUAUGUGUGUCUUAUGUAUAUGUCUGUAUGUAUGUGUGUCUUGUGUCUGUGUGUAUGUGUGUGUGUCUUUGUAUGUAUGUUUUAUGUGCGUGUCUGUGUGUAUGUUUGUAUGUAUGUGUCAUGUGUGUGUAUGUGUGCCUGUUUGUUUGUAUGUGUCGUGUGUGUGUGUGUGUGUGCCUGUCUGUGUGUCUGUAUGUGUGUGCCUGUCUGUUUGUAUGUAUGUGUCUUUGUAUGUGUGUCUUGUGUGUGUGUGUUAUAGUGGGCUAUAGUAAGUGUGCUACCUAGCUCAGCCUUCCUACUGGGCAUUGCUAUAAGUAAGGUUAAAAAAUAGGAAAAAAGGGGGAACAAAAAGGUGGGGAGGGGAAUUGAGGAAGAAGAGGAGGGGAGCUGACGCACAGAUGAGAAAUCAUUUUAUGCACAAACAGAGAAGUCGUCUGAAUAUCACCGAAAGAGGAGACCUUCGUUUGUACCUUACAAAAAUCGAACCAGAUAUCAAAUAUUUAGUCUCGCAGCAUCAACCUCAAGGAUCUCAUUAAUCACUACUAAAGGUAAUUUCAAUUUACUUUAUUGUUUUCUCAUUAAACUUUAUAAAGUUAAAAACAUUAUCAACAUGCAUUAAGUAGAAAUAAAAAGAUAAAUGUACGUACAUUUUUUUUUUUAAAACGCCCUCCUUUCUAAAAACUAUUCUGCACUUGCGCGAAAACUGGUGGGCGGUAAGGAAAUUUUUCCAUCAAGAAAGAUGCAUUAGUUGGCGGUAGGAAGAAAAAGGUUGACUUCCACUGCUCUAAAGUAUCAAUAUCCUUCUAGAGAUACGGUCUCCAGUACUGCGUACAAUACUCCAAGUGAGGUCUCACCAGUGUUCUGUACAAUGGCAUGAGCACUUCCCUCUUUCUACUGCUAAUGCCUCUCCCUAUACUACCAAUCAUUCUGCUAGCAUUUCCUGCUGCUCUAUUACAUUGUCUGCCUACCUUUAAGUCAUCAGAAAUAAUUACCCCUAAAUCCCUUACCUCAGAUGUUGAGGUUAGGACUCUAUCAAAUAUUCUAUACUCUGCCCUUGGGUUUUUACGCCCAAAGUUUUUCACGGAUACAUAUGGAAGCUCCUUGCAGGAGAUGUCAGCAGUAACUGCCCGGUGGACUGCAGGUAAAUUGUAAAGCAUGUUGCCAAUUCAAGGCCUGAAUAUCUAAGCUGGAAAAGUAGCUGAUUUGAAAUUUUUUCAAGUUUUAUUAUUUCGGUUUAAAGGGGCACUACACUGCACAAAUACAAAAUAAAUAUCAAUCACUGAUUAGUAGAUAUAUCCCCUAUGAAAACAUGCAUGCAUUGCAUUUCAAAUUUUUUUUUUUAUUGGGGUGUAUCUAAUAACAGCUUGCAAAAGGGGCAGAUCUCUUGUCUUCAAUCUUUGCAAGCCUUCCCCUUCUAACCCCGCCCAGACUUUCUGUGGCUGUCCAAUCACAGACUUCCCAAUGCAGCUCAAGGAGAAGUCUUUGCAAGGCAGGUGCUCUGAGCAAUUACUGCCUCUUGAGUUUAGCUGAGCAAACAAAACCAGGGAGUAACAGGACCAGUUGUCUGACAGUCAAGGGUGGUGUAACACGGUUAAUUUAUAACAUUGUCGAUUUAUAUUGAAAUCUGCACUUUUUGGAAAAUGGAAAAAAGGGGGGCGGGAGUCACACUCUGCACAUAUAAAACUUUUUAGCAAGCUAAAGUGCUUUAGGGCUCUCUUACCAAUUCUCCACCAUCCCUAAAUUAAUCAAUAAAAGCUGAUGUCCACUGAGCAAGCCUAGUUUGUGAGCGAGAGAAUGCAUUCUUUUUUAUUUAUUCACUAAACUGGUACUUGAGAGAACUGAAGUCCAGACAUAUUUUUUUUGAAUAUUUUAUAGAGUGUAUGCAUACAUUUGCACAAUCACAGACAUACAAACUUACAAACAUACAUACAGUGACAUAUACUACCCACAUUGGAGCAUGCAGCCUCCGUGAUGACACUGACACCCCUUGUAGGUGUAGCAAUAUUGCUGAAUGUGAAUUCUUUGAAUUUUUUUUUGACAGCUUGGUGGAGGCAUAUGGGGAAUCAGAUGGAGUCUGAGGUGACCAAUCAGCUAGCCCAUGCAUAAAUAGCCCUGACUUCUAGGGAGGAGCAUUUGCCCUGGUUCCAUAAGUUCGAAUCUACACUAUUGAUCUUACAAGAACAGAGAACAAUAUAUAACUACCUGAAUGUGACCAUGUCGAACAUUCAUCCUGUGGAAGACAGGCCUGCUUUCCGGAGAGGAUCCCAAGCAGCACCCCUUAUUCAUCACGCCGCCUUAGCUCCUAAUGUCAAAAAGAGCACAGUCAAGCAUUCUAGGUUGCAUUUCAUUUUUGUACUAUUUACUUGUUAUUGUUUCCUCUCUCUUAAUAUGUUGGGGCAAUAUUAUAACAACUAUACCCUUUAUUAAAAAAAAAGUUACAAUCUAGAUAUCUGAAAUCUAUAUUGUCAAACUAUUUAUAGCAUUUUCAGAUUAAGACAGUGUGUUGCAGUGUUAUGGGAGAACAUUUUCACGCCAAGAGAACAAUCAAUAACAACAAAGUAAUAUAAAGAAUUGCGUACUGGGAAACAUCACAACUACAGCAACCAGUUAUCCAACCUUCAACAAAUCCAUCACAACUAAUCCAGGGUGGAAAAUUCACUCAAACUGCGUAACCAUGACAAGGCAAACAACGUCCCCAGAAAUCGGGGUAUAUAAUAAAUAUGCAUAUAGAAUAUAUGUCUCUAGUGUUCUAAUACAUAUGUGCACAGUAUACAUAAUGAUGGUGGGCAGCCAGUCUAUUGUUUAAAAAAACAAAAC
This is a non-coding RNA of Pelobates cultripes (western spadefoot toad), 23294 nucleotides long. The record is from the annotation of a GenBank genome assembly. Lineage: Eukaryota; Metazoa; Chordata; Amphibia; Anura; Pelobatidae.